Molecule: long non-coding RNA, 2201 nt
Filed under: Lathyrus oleraceus (garden pea)
Lineage: Eukaryota; Viridiplantae; Streptophyta; Magnoliopsida; Fabales; Fabaceae
Description: Pisum sativum (pea) long non-coding RNA (PSAT_LNC032333)
Source: RNAcentral
UAAUACAAAGAAGUUUCAUUGUAAAUAUUUAAAUGCAAAAAGGUAUUUAUUGAAAAAUAAAAAAUAAAAGAUUGGACUUUAACAACAUAAAUUAAUCAUUAAACUUCUAUUUGUUGUUUCUAGCUUAGAAGAAAAAAUAUGGCUGACAUUAUUAAGUUUGUAUAUUUAAUGAUCCUCUUCUUUUCCUUAUUUCUUGUACUUGGCAUAAAUGGUAAACCAUCCUCGUAUCUUUCAAUUUUUAUUUAUUUGUUAUUUAUUUUUCAAUUAUAUCUAUAAUGGUUGAAAAAACACUACAGAGAAAAGAGUGUCAAUGGUACUCCUAAGAUUAAAUUUUAAGUAAUAACAGUUUCUUCUUUUGUAAAAUUAUAGGAAGGAGGCAAAAUUGCAAGGAGCAUUCUGAUUGUGCAAACUAUUUUUGUGUAACUCCUUAUGUUCCAAAAUGCCUUUAUUUGAAAUGUAGAUGUCGUCUAUUAGAUGGUAAAUUAAUGUUGAGAGAUUGAUAUUGAAACUAAUAGCAAUUAAUUUUAUUUGCUUCUAAGCCUACUAAUUUAUUUGCAUGUCAUAUUGUUAGUUACUUAUUUUAUUUCUCUCACACUUUAGUUUAGAUUUUGUUCUCUAUGGGACGAUAUGAAGAAAAACAGUCAUCACUAUGUCAGACUUGGCUUUUAACUUCAUUUAUUUUCUCUUUUAGAAUGUUUUAAUGAGCUAUUGAAGAUAGAGCUCUUUAAAAUCUUGAUAAAAUUAGAUCUCUUUUAAAUCGUUGUAGUAGAUAGGAAAAGGAACACGCUAUUAAACAUGGUUAAGUUUUAUUUUAUUUGACAGGAAAAUGACAACACUUUUAAACAAAAGUGAUGUAGUAGCCUUUUAUAAAAAAAAACACUAAUGAAGUUUUAUGAGUUGUUUUUUUUUAGUUUUCUUUAUCAAAAUAAUUAAGUUUUUUUAAAAAAAUUCACAAACAACCAUGUUUCCUCAUUAAUUUUCAAAGUAAAUUGAUGUUUGCAUUAGAAAAAGUAGAGCUAACACCAAUUAAAUUGACUACAGCAUAUGAAGGCGUCAAUUGAAUUGGCGAAAUUGCAUGGGAAGUAGAUGGAGGCACCAAUUAAAUGAGCGACCAUGUACAAGAAGUAAGUGCAUGUGCCAAUUGAAUUGACGACUGUGUACAAAAGACAUAAGUUCAGUCUUAUCAAAUCUUGUACAUAGUCGUCAAUUCAAUUGGCAUUUAAAUUUACUUUCUGUACACAAUCGCCAAUUCAAUUGACGACUCCAUCUACUUGUCAUGCAGUAUCGCCUUGACGCCUCCAUAUGCAGUCGCUAAUUCAAUUAGUGUUAACUCUAUUUUUUCUAAUGUUGACACCAAUUGAAUUGACAUGUGCUAUGCGUUGCCAAUUUUGUUUGUACGAAACAUAGGUGCUUUGGGAAUUAGUGGAGAAACUUGGUUAUUUGACAAUUUUUUUUUUAAAACGACUAGUUAUUUUGAUUAAAAAAUUCAAACUUUGUUGGCUGAAAGGAAUAAUCCUUUUUCAAGAAUGAGCUUUCAAAUAGCAUGGACAUUGGUGUUAGAAGAAGCGGGAGAGUGACAAGGCUUGGUCUGGAUUUGGGAUAUUGUUUAAGAAAGUGCGAUAUGGUUCAAUGUAGUGAGGACACUUUCAUUUGGUUGCGCGACAAUAAUUAUUUCUCAAUUAAGAGCAAUUACAGGUUCCUUUCCCUACUAAAAAUAACAUAUCUUAUCUCGGAUGUGAAAUGGAUUUUAGCUAGGUUACACAAAUGGCGAUAUGAAAUCUAUCCACUUUAUCUCUCGGUUAUUUAAAAAUAGAGGUUAUAAUGGAAAAGGUCAUUGGUUCAAUCCUUAGCAAUAGCAUAUUUUUAUUUUCAAAAUUCGUGUCACUUUACCUUUCGAAUUUAUUUAAAAUUUGAGGUAAUAAAUUAUGUUGGUACGUCGGUUUUACUUAAUAACUGAGGGAUUAAAUCUUAUCUAUUGUCAUAUAUAAUUUGUUUUAAAGCUCAUUUUGACUGGCUUGUAUCAUGUUUUACACAUAAGCAAAAUAUUGACAGAAUCAUAAUCAAAUCAUUUUAAAUGCACAAAUUGACAUUGUUCUCAUCAAUACAUAAUACAAGAUUUACAUUGUUUUCAAAAUCAAAUGUGCAAAUUUACAUUGUUCUCAUCAACAUAAUAUAUAAGAUUUACAUUGUGUUCAAAAUCA